ACUCAAAUGAAUUGACGGGGACCCGCACAAGCAGCGGAGCAUGUGGUUUAAUUCGAAGCAACGCGAAGAACCUUACCUAGGCUUGACAUCCCUCAGACCGGUCCUUAACCGGACCCUUCCCUUCGGGGACUGAGGUGACAGGUGGUGCAUGGUUGUCGUCAGCUCGUGUCGUGAGAUGUUGGGUUAAGUCCCGCAACGAGCGCAACCCUUGCCUUUAGUUGCCAGCAUUAAGUUGGGCACUCUAGAGGGACUGCCGAGGAUAACUCGGAGGAAGGUGGGGAUGACGUCAAAUCAUCAUGCCCCUUAUGCUUAGGGCUACACACGUGCUACAAUGGCUAGUACAGAGGGUUGCGAAGCCGCGAGGUGAAGCUAAUCCCUUAAAGCUAGUCUCAGUUCGGAUUGUAGGCUGAAACUCGCCUACAUGAAGCUGGAGUUGCUAGUAAUCGCGAAUCAGAAUGUCGCGGUGAAUACGUUCCCGGGUCUUGCACACACCGCCCGU
RNAcentral lists this ribosomal RNA (499 nucleotides) under uncultured bacterium. RNAcentral describes it as "partial 16S ribosomal RNA". It matches the Rfam family "Bacterial small subunit ribosomal RNA", at positions 899 to 1397 of the family's 1533-position model. The record is from RNAcentral.